ACUUCAGGCAUGUGGGGCUCUCCAGGAGGGAGAAGAGGCACCUUCGCCGUGAGUUGAGGACUCCUAGAACCAACCUGAGACUCCGCGGCCAUAUACAUCUUACGACGUGUGUGUGUGUGUGGCGGCGGAUGGGAGGGGAGGAAUCCUGUAGAACCCAGAUCCCAUCAUUCCAGCAACUGCCAGAGCGUUCGAGAAUGUCACGCCUGUACCUGUCUUCUCUCAUCUUUUGUGCCAACUGUUUUAUCAAACUUCCACCCCACUUUAAGUCUUCCAGAGUAUGGCACAAAUAUACUGCCCAGGUUCUAAAACAUGUAUAAGAGUUGACAAAAUCAGCUGAGGUUGAGCAGAAAUUAUAUAGGAAAAAAUAGGAAAAAUGCAGAGACCAAUCUCAGCUGCAAGAAGGCUCAGCUAGACACUGCAAGCAGAAGUAUAACCCCUGAAGAUACAGGAAAAGACCUUAACUGAGGGAUGGUUUCCUGCUGUGUCCUCAGAACCCCAGGGCCUGGCUCACAGAGACAAGUAAGCAGUGGCUGAAGAUUGUUGCAUAUGUGAAGACCUAGAAUUUACCAAUGAAUGACAACUUGAAUGAGAAGCUUAGAAAAAGAGAAGAUGGCGGUCAGCAAGGGAAGAAGAAAAAUAAAGACAUGGGAAAAAAUGAGAGGAAUGAAUAUUGGCAGAGGACCAAAUGGCAUCAAACUCACAGCAGAUAGGUUAGAUUCAUCUAUUUCAAGAGGAAAUUAUUUCUAGCAUAAAGAAAAGACAAAUAUUUAAGGUGAUGAAUAUCUCAACUACACUAAUUUGAUCUUUGACUCAAAUUAUAUGAAUGUAUUAAAUUAUCACCUAUACCCUGAAACUAUGCACAUCUAUUAUGUAUCAAUAACUAAUUGUUUAAAAAAAUAGAAAUGCUAGAACUGAAAAACUCUAAAUAAAGAAAUUUAAAAAGAAAAUCAAGUUACUGAAGAGAUCCCUGGGCUGUGACGGAAACAAAUAAAAUGGCUUAUUUCUAAGGGCACUCAACUAUUGAGUAAGUCUGAGCUGAAAGGUAUAAAGUACAAUAUGGCAAAUAAUAAUAACCACAAAAAUAAGCUUCUUAGAUAACCUAUUGCUUUGUGGUUAUAAUAAUUAUACACUCCACUGGAUAGCAAGCAAUCUACUUAUCUACAUGUAUAAGUUUGACUUGAAGUUUCUCCUAUUUUUCAUCUACUGGAGUAACUCAAUUACUAGGGCAUCUAUAUUUGCAAAUCUGCAAAGUGAAUGUUGUCAUCCAAUAGCCUUGCCACAUGUAUCCUGAGUACUUUUUACAUUCUUUAGCUUCCUAGAUUCACUUCAGCCAUCCUAGAAAUUAUUGAGCUUCAAAUUAGAUUAAGUCUCCCUGAGAAGUGAAAUAAAUAUUGCAUGGAGAGGAGAGAAGAUUCAGAUGGGUGGGGAUGAAGAACCAGCCAUGUGAAGGGAGCACAUUUGCUAAUAAACCUCACAGAGGAUGACCUGAGUACACAA
Long non-coding RNA from Piliocolobus tephrosceles (Ugandan red Colobus), 1497 nucleotides. RefSeq lists it as uncharacterized. The record is from RefSeq and is a predicted model, not a curated record. The transcript is spliced from 3 exons. Lineage: Eukaryota; Metazoa; Chordata; Mammalia; Primates; Cercopithecidae.